Molecule: unclassified non-coding RNA, 357 nt
Filed under: Hevea brasiliensis (rubber tree)
Lineage: Eukaryota; Viridiplantae; Streptophyta; Magnoliopsida; Malpighiales; Euphorbiaceae
Source: RNAcentral
AGCACAAAUGCAAAUUUCCCAAUACAAAAACAUUCCAAAAGGCUGUUACAAUGAAAUGCUGACCUUGAUUACAGCAACAAUAUAAUAAAUAGUUUCCACAGUUGAUAACUGAGUAAUGACAAACUUGAUUCCCACAGAAUUAAACAAAAGAGUUUCCUAAUGGCUCUGGCUCAAGAAAUAUUAUUGCAACAGUAGAUGAGGCUCUUGGAAAUGUCAUUAUUGUCAUUGCCUUCAGUAUUAUUUCUAAUGGCUUCUUCAGAUUCAUGGACCAAGCAAUGGUUAUCCUUUCAAGUACCAUUCCAUUUUCUAGUACAAACUUUAUAAAUUCAAGUCCAUUAUCCUGACCUUCAAAGUUGC